AACCUCCGCAAUGUGAGAAAUCGCGACGGGGGGAUCCCAAGUGCCAUUCUUAACGGGAUGGCUUUUCAUUAGUGUAAAGAGCUUUUGGAAUAAGAGCUGGGCAAGACCGGUGCCAGCCGCCGCGGUAACACCGGCAGCUCUAGUGGUAACAAUUUUUAUUGGGCCUAAAGCGUCCGUAGCCGGUUUAAUAAGUCUCUGGUGAAAUCCUGCAGCUUAACUGUGGGAAUUGCUGGAGAUACUAUUAGACUUGAGACCGGGAGAGGUUAGAGGUACUCCCAGGGUAGAGGUGAAAUUCUGUAAUCCUGGGAGGACCGCCUGUUGCGAAGGCGUCUAGCUGGAACGGUUCUGACGGUGAGGGACGAAAGUUAGGGGCGCGAACCGGAUUAGAUACCCGGGUAGUCCUAACUGUAAACGAUGCGGACUUGGUGUUGGGGUGGCUUUGAGCUGCUUCAGUGCCGAAGGGAAGCUGUUAACUCCGCCGCCUGGGAAGUACGGUCGCAAGACUAAAACUUAAAGGAAUU
Molecule: ribosomal RNA, 521 nt
Filed under: uncultured bacterium
Lineage: Bacteria
Description: bacterial SSU rRNA
Rfam family: Archaeal small subunit ribosomal RNA
Source: RNAcentral